UGAGGAAUAUUGGUCAAUGGGCGGAAGCCUGAACCAGCCAUCCCGCGUGAAGGAAGAAGGCCUUAUGGGUUGUAAACUUCUUUUCUGUUUGAAGAAUAAGCUUGUCGUGACAAGUGAUGCCGGUAGGACAGGAAUAAGCAUCGGCUAACUCCGUGCCAGCAGCCGCGGUAAUACGGAGGCUGCAAGCGUUAUCCGGAUUUAUUGGGUUUAAAGGGUGCGCAGGUGGUUUAAUAAGUCAGUGGUGAAAGUCUGCCGCUUAACGGUAGGAUUGCCAUUGAUACUGUUGGACUUGAAUAUGGAUGAGGUAGGCGGAAUGUGUAGUGUAGCGGUGAAAUGCUUAGAUAUUACACAGAACACCGAUUGCGAAGGCAGCUUACUAAUCCAUGAUUGACGCUGAGGCACGAAAGCGUGGGGAUCAAACUG
RNAcentral lists this ribosomal RNA (423 nucleotides) under uncultured bacterium. RNAcentral's name for it is "bacterial SSU rRNA". It matches the Rfam family "Bacterial small subunit ribosomal RNA", at positions 355 to 775 of the family's 1533-position model. The record is from RNAcentral.